This 506-nucleotide ribosomal RNA is filed under the name uncultured bacterium. RNAcentral describes it as "bacterial SSU rRNA". It matches the Rfam family "Bacterial small subunit ribosomal RNA", at positions 29 to 518 of the family's 1533-position model. The record is from RNAcentral.
AUGAACGCUGGCGGCGUGCCUAACACAUGCAAGUCGAACGGACUUAAGACGCUGAUGAGGCUUCGGCGGAUUCUUGUUUAAGUUAGUGGCGGACGGGUGAGUAACGCGUGGGCAACCUGCCUCAUACUGGGGGGAUAGCAGUUGGAAACGACUGAUAAUACCGCAUAAGCGCACAGCAUCGCAUGAUGCAGUGUGAAAAACUCCGGUGGUAUGAGAUGGGCCCGCGUCAGAUUAGCUAGUUGGUAAGGUAACGGCUUACCAAGGCGACGAUCUGUAGCCGGACUGAGAGGUCGGACGGCCACAUUGGGACUGAGACACGGCCCAAACUCCUACGGGAGGCAGCAGUGGGGGAUAUUGCACAAUGGAGGAAACUCUGAUGCAGCGACGCCGCCGUGAGUGAAGAAGUAUUUCGGUAUGUAAAGCUCUAUCAGCAGGGAAGAAAGACUCGCAAGAGAGAUGACGGUACCUGACUAAGAAGCCCCGGCUAACUACGUGCCAGCCGCCGC